This is a long non-coding RNA of Gossypium raimondii (Peruvian cotton), 377 nucleotides long. RefSeq lists it as uncharacterized. Lineage: Eukaryota; Viridiplantae; Streptophyta; Magnoliopsida; Malvales; Malvaceae. The record is from RefSeq and is a predicted model, not a curated record. The transcript has 3 exons.
CUUUUCUAGCCGAAUUUGAACAAAAGAAAAAAAGGAAGAAAGCUAGCUAGGUUCGGCCAUUGUUGUGUUUAAAUUUAAGAUCAAGAAACGAAGAAAACGAAUUUGGAUCGGGGAAAAACGAAAGUAAUCGAAUAGUCGAUCGUGUCCGCUGAUAUCCGAGAUUUUGGAGACGCGUUACGAGCUCGGGGAUCAUCAGCAUAGUCUAUCACACUAUCGACCGUCCUUGGUAUUUUAUAUAUUUUGAACUCGAACCUAUAGCAUGUAUAGUCUAGUUAAUAUGUUUAAAUUUUUUUUGAUAUGUGAAUAUGAGCCAUGCGAAAAUGGCUUGUCACUUUUCGUUUUGAAUUUGGUAUUAACGAAUAUGUUUUAAUGGUCUA